Molecule: transfer RNA, 64 nt
Filed under: Dexia tenuiforceps
Lineage: Eukaryota; Metazoa; Arthropoda; Insecta; Diptera; Tachinidae
Description: tRNA-Leu
Source: RNAcentral
ACUAUUUUGGCAGAUUAGUGUAUUAAAUUUAGAAUUUAUGGAUGUAAUUUUAUUACAAAUAGUA